AGUCCGGUCAAAAUAAUUACCGAAAGUAUGACGGCCUCUCGAGCCGCCGACGCGGGUUCAAAUCCCGCCCGGAGCA
RNAcentral lists this transfer RNA (76 nucleotides) under miscellaneous Crenarchaeota group archaeon SMTZ-80. RNAcentral describes it as "tRNA-Glu". The record is from RNAcentral. Lineage: Archaea; Thermoproteati; Candidatus Bathyarchaeota.